UCCCUGUGGAGAAGCCUCAAGUUACAUGUCUUCAUCCAAUCUUGCAGAGUUCUGUCUAAUGCAGCAAGAUGCCUGCCUGUUUACUUUGUUCUUAGCUGUCUCCAGGCAUCCCAACUGUGCCUGUCCAUCAGUACUAAGGGUGAGGUGAGAGAGAAACUAGUUCCUUGGAAAACACACCAAAUGACCAGAAUGUUGAAGACAUAUUUCACUUCUCUUCUUUCUUCCUUGUCCAGAAGCCUCAUGUUCUUCACCUUCUCCCCUUUCUUGCACAGCCAUGUUGGAUGCAGUAAGCCACCCACUCCUUCCCUCUCUCCUUAGCUGUUACUGGACAUCCAAACUAUGCCAGUUUCAUCAGCACUCCAGAUGAGGCAAGACAGAAGCCAGUUCCUCCCUUGGGCAGAGUACCAAAAGCCUGGAGACAUUAGAUGCAUACGUCCUUCUCUUUUUCCAUCAGGAAGAAGUUACAAGACAAGAUGAUUUCACUGGGAGCUGAGUUUUGCCAGAUUUGGGGAAAUACUGUUGCAGGGUCUAUUUCUUCCUCUUAAAGUGUACCUUCCCUGGAGCUUCAACUUAAUGCCUGAAGUCCUCAGUGAGGUCCCUCCACUCUUCCUGUCUAAGCUGAAACUUCAACAUCUUCAGGAGUGUGUGACACCUGCGCAACAGUGCUUGGCAGCAGCACCAACAUGCCUCCUCUUUUCAUGAAACCAGCAGCUCAACACAGUUCAGAACUCCUGCUGGAGAGAUGAUUCAGCUGUUUGCAGGAAUAAGGCCCUCUGACUUUGUGAGUUUUCAGAGAUUUUUGUGCUGAUUCUUUCUCAUCUUUGUGGGUUUGUCUUCCUUCAGUCUUUGACAUUGCCAACCUUUUGAUUUUUGUUUGUUUGUUUGCUUGCUUUCAUCUUAUUUGAUUCCUUUGAGGUUUUGAUUGUGGUAUAAGGUGGAUUCAGUUGACUGGCUUCAUUUCUGGAAGAUUUUAGGAGAUCAACACUCUGCUCCCAAAUCCUGAACUGUGUGUUCUAACUGGGAGACAUAUAUUGGACCCCAACUUUGCUCUCUGGCUUCUCAAGGUUAGGAAUCUACUGAGCUGGGGGAAUUUGAGGUGUUCCCAGACCCCCAAGUCACUACACUCCAAUGGAUAGUGUCAGCUAAAGCCUUUCAUAGUGCAGUGACAGCAAGAUCCAUCCUCACAUUCCAGCAAUAGCAGUAGUGGAAGUUGUGGCAGAGUGCUAGUGGGUUCUGAGGUGCCUGCCUCCCUUGCAGCUUGGUUUGAGGGGAAGAUGGGGGCAGCUGGGGACCCCUGCUGGAGACUGUGUGAACAGCUGUGCCCAAGGUGGUAUUGGCUCAGGGGCCAGGCAGUGACAGGCACAAGUCUGGGUACCUUCUCUGUUCCCUUCAAGCAGGAGUGAUGGCUCAGGAUGGAGGAAGAUCCACUGUUCGCUGCAUAGUGUUAGUACAAGGGUGGGGUGCUUGUAGGUGUGGGGCUUGCUGGCUUUGUGCCCUCCAAGGCUCUGUCUGCAAUGGCAUUCUGGAGGGGAAGGGGAGGCGGAUUGGACUCCAGUAUGCUGUCAGUGCCAGGAAAGCAAAACCUACCUGCACAGACACACCAACAGAGCAUUCUGGGGGGGUUGCCUUGAGCCCAGGGGGAAGCUACAAUUUAGGGAGGGAGCAUGUAGGCUGGGGCCUCAACAUAGGUGCUGCCCCACUGGAGCUGUCUGCCAGUCCCACACAGUCUGCCAGCACAGAAACUAUAACACAGGCCCCAGACCACUCAGGGCUGCCCUGCAAGUAGGCAUAGGCAUGCUGGGGCUCUGGAAGAGGCCAGUAGACCAGGGAGUGCUCAGGUCAGACUGUCCCUAUCUAUUGGACAAGCCCCAUUUUGCAGUGUUCAGAUUCAGCAGUUCCUCUAGGGCUAAUGUUUCCUAUGGGAGCAAGUCAAGCCUAGCAGGAUGGCCAUCUCUGGCCUUAAUCUGCUACAGAUGCUCCUGUACCAAAACCUCUGGACUCCACAUCAGCUGGCUUACUGCUUCUACCACUUCUCUAAGCAGCUCUCCCUGCCAAUUCGAAUGCCUGCGGUGGUUGAGGGGUCUCCUGCCGGUGCUCUAGAGGCCUGUGGUGAAGGCAGAUUGCUCUUCGCCAUUUCAACUCACCCAUUCCUCUAGAGCCAUUGGUGGCCAAGAACGAGACUGGGUGCAAUUUAUCUACAUGUAGCAUUCCCAACGUUCUCCUCCUUCUGCCAGCUUCCCUGUCCUCCCUGUGUCCACUCUCGGGAAGACUGGUUAGGAGCAUGUCAGGAGCAUGCCAGUCGUCUCAGUCUCUAAGUAGGAGCUGUUCCACCUGUCUGCAUUUAGUUGGUCAUCUUACUGCAUAUGACUCUUUUGCUAUACCAAAACUAUGAUCAACAGCCAGUCCCAAAUGAAAGCAGUGAAUGAAAAGUUGUUAGGUUGCUAUAAGAAAAUGUGUUAAACAUAUGAUACCCACUGUUUGUCAGAAAUGCAAUAGCGACAGCCUGCCAGGGAGAAAACAGCAACUUACAAUAAUUUAUCUUAAGGUGAACUUAUCCUUUAUGCCAGUUUCAUCUUCUAAUAAUAGUAGAUUAAAAGGAUGAAACUAAAUUGUAUUUAGAAGUAUUUGGUUACAUACAUUCAUGAUUUUUAAUAAUAGAUAUGCUGCAUGCAUUAGAUGACCAGGCCCUUAUUUUUGUCAUGUAAGGUAACAUAUUCAAAGGUUCCAGGGAUCAGAACGUGGACUUCUUUGGGGUUUGGGGGCAUUAUUCAGCCUACCCCAAUAAAUCUGAGGUGAUUUAUAAGAAUGGCCUAGAAAAUAUGAUGUUCCAUAACUGUGACUACCAUGUUAUAAAUGUUAUACCAUGUUAUAAAUGAGCCAGUCAAAAGUUAUUUUCGCUGUCAAAGUCCAGUGUUUCUGAAAAAUGGAAACUGAAGAAAUCAAAAGUCAUUUUUGUUUUUUUCACAGAGGAACAACUUACGUAGUUCUUUUUCUUUUUA
This is a non-coding RNA of Macaca mulatta (Rhesus monkey), 2999 nucleotides long. The record is from RefSeq and is a predicted model, not a curated record. Lineage: Eukaryota; Metazoa; Chordata; Mammalia; Primates; Cercopithecidae.